UCCCAAAUAGUCUAGGCGGUUAGGAUACGUGGCUUUCACCCACGCGACCCGGGGUUCGAGUCCCGGCUUGGGAA
Phytophthora infestans T30-4 is the source of this 74-nucleotide transfer RNA. It matches the Rfam family "tRNA". Rfam says of the family: Transfer RNA (tRNA) molecules are approximately 80 nucleotides in length. The record is from Rfam. NCBI's taxonomy places the organism in Eukaryota, Oomycota, Peronosporomycetes, Peronosporales, Peronosporaceae.